AAUUCAAUAGUUUAAAUAAAAUAUUAAAUUGCAAAUUUAAAGAUAAUUUUUGUUUUGGAUUU
This 62-nucleotide transfer RNA is filed under the name Rhyzodiastes puetzi. RNAcentral's name for it is "tRNA-Cys". Lineage: Eukaryota; Metazoa; Arthropoda; Insecta; Coleoptera; Carabidae. The record is from RNAcentral.